Long non-coding RNA from Talpa occidentalis (Iberian mole), 419 nucleotides. RefSeq lists it as uncharacterized. The record is from RefSeq and is a predicted model, not a curated record. Lineage: Eukaryota; Metazoa; Chordata; Mammalia; Eulipotyphla; Talpidae. The transcript has 5 exons.
CCUAAGAAUGCCGAAAGAUGGGUUUCCACUUCUGGUUGGUUUCUAACCUCAUGACUUUGCCAUUGGAAAGGAUACUUCACUUGAUUUUGAGCAUUUUAAAUUCAUGGAGAUUUAAGACUGUGGAAGUGAGUUGCUCUGGAUCUGGCAGUAUGAGAAACUUUGUUGGGUUGUUGAAGUGACACAUCAGUAAGAGCUUGACUCACUACAUGGUGGAGCUGCCACACCAGCCUUGGAUGCUCUGCCUAAUUGCUCGUCUCUGCUGCCUUCAGUCUCAGCCAUAAAACCUCAAAUUAUAGGUACAAAGAUUGGCAAAUGGAAAGGAGAAAAGGACUCAGAUUCAUAAACAAUAUGAAACCAUCAAAAAUACAGGAUGAUCCUGAGCCUAACAUACAGUCAAGGAGGGAAUGAGGAAAGAUUUC